RNAcentral lists this ribosomal RNA (497 nucleotides) under uncultured bacterium. Its description in RNAcentral is "partial 16S ribosomal RNA". It matches the Rfam family "Bacterial small subunit ribosomal RNA", at positions 28 to 507 of the family's 1533-position model. The record is from RNAcentral.
GAUGAACGCUGGCGGCGUGCCUAAUACAUGCAAGUCGAGCGAACAGACGAGGAGCUUGCUCCUCUGACGUUAGCGGCGGACGGGUGAGUAACACGUGGAUAACCUACCUAUAAGACUGGGAUAACUUCGGGAAACCGGAGCUAAUACCGGAUAAUAUAUUGAACCGCAUGGUUCAAUAGUGAAAGACGGUUUUGCUGUCACUUAUAGAUGGAUCCGCGCCGCAUUAGCUAGUUGGUAAGGUAACGGCUUACCAAGGCAACGAUGCGUAGCCGACCUGAGAGGGUGAUCGGCCACACGGGAACUGAGACACGGUCCAGACUCCUACGGGAGGCAGCAGUAGGGAAUCUGCCGCAAUGGGCGAAAGCUUGACGGAGCAACGCCGCGUGAGUGAUGAAGGUCUUCGGAUCGUAAAACUCUGUUAUUAGGGAAGAACAAAUGUGUAAGUAACUAUGCACGUCUUGACGGUACCUAAUCAGAAAGCCACGGCUAACUACGUG